UCGUACGCUUCUUUUUCCCCGGAGCUUGCUCCACCGGAAAAAGAAGAGUGGCGAACGGGUGAGUAACACGUGGGUAACCUGCCCAUCAGAAGGGGAUAACACUUGGAAACAGGUGCUAAUACCGUAUAACAAUCGAAACCGCAUGGUUUUGAUUUGAAAGGCGCUUUCGGGUGUCGCUGAUGGAUGGACCCGCGGUGCAUUAGCUAGUUGGUGAGGUAACGGCUCACCAAGGCCACGAUGCAUAGCCGACCUGAGAGGGUGAUCGGCCACAUUGGGACUGAGACACGGCCCAAACUCCUACGGGAGGCAGCAGUAGGGAAUCUUCGGCAAUGGACGAAAGUCUGACCGAGCAACGCCGCGUGAGUGAAGAAGGUUUUCGGAUCGUAAAACUCUGUUGUUAGAGAAGAACAAGGAUGAGAGUAACUGUUCAUCCCUUGACGGUAUCUAACCAGAAAGCCACGGCUAACUACGUGCCAGCAGCCGCGGUAAUACGUAGGUGGCAAGCGUUGUCCGGAUUUAUUGGGCGUAAAGCGAGCGCAGGCGGUUUCUUAAGUCUGAUGUGAAAGCCCCCGGCUCAACCGGGGAGGGUCAUUGGAAACUGGGAGACUUGAGUGCAGAAGAGGAGAGUGGAAUUCCAUGUGUAGCGGUGAAAUGCGUAGAUAUAUGGAGGAACACCAGUGGCGAAGGCGGCUCUCUGGUCUGUAACUGACGCUGAGGCUCGAAAGCGUGGGGAGCAAACAGGAUUAGAUACCCUGGUAGUCCACGCCGUAAACGAUGAGUGCUAAGUGUUGGAGGGUUUCCGCCCUUCAGUGCUGCAGCUAACGCAUUAAGCACUCCGCCUGGGGAGUACGACCGCAAGGUUGAAACUCAAAGGAAUUGACGGGGGCCCGCACAAGCGGUGGAGCAUGUGGUUUAAUUCGAAGCAACGCGAAGAACCUUACCAGGUCUUGACAUCCUUUGACCACUCUAGAGAUAGAGCUUCCCCUUCGGGGGCAAAGUGACAGGUGGUGCAUGGUUGUCGUCAGCUCGUGUCGUGAGAUGUUGGGUUAAGUCCCGCAACGAGCGCAACCCUUAUUGUUAGUUGCCAUCAUUCAGUUGGGCACUCUAGCAAGACUGCCGGUGACAAACCGGAGGAAGGUGGGGAUGACGUCAAAUCAUCAUGCCCCUUAUGACCUGGGCUACACACGUGCUACAAUGGGAAGUACAACGAGUCGCGAAGUCGCGAGGCUAAGCUAAUCUCUUAAAGCUUCUCUCAGUUCGGAUUGUAGGCUGCAACUCGCCUACAUGAAGCCGGAAUCGCUAGUAAUCGCGGAUCAGCACGCCGCGGUGAAUACGUUCCCGGGCCUUGUACACACCGCCCGUCACACCACGAGAGUUUUAACACCCGAAGUCGGUGAGGUAACCUUUGAGCC
RNAcentral lists this ribosomal RNA (1412 nucleotides) under Enterococcus durans. Its description in RNAcentral is "bacterial SSU rRNA". It matches the Rfam family "Bacterial small subunit ribosomal RNA". The record is from RNAcentral. Lineage: Bacteria; Bacillati; Bacillota; Bacilli; Lactobacillales; Enterococcaceae.